Molecule: long non-coding RNA, 357 nt
Filed under: Setaria viridis
Lineage: Eukaryota; Viridiplantae; Streptophyta; Magnoliopsida; Poales; Poaceae
Description: long non-coding RNA (SVIR_LNC005398)
Source: RNAcentral
GGGAGUGAUUGGUGUGCCUUCCUUAUCGACUUCUGUGAUGAUGGUACGCCCCUUCAACUUUUUCUUCCCGCCUUGUUUCUGUUUAGGCCUUGAUGAGGAUGUAGAUGGCUACAAAAAAAGAUGCAUUAAUUAUAACCAUUGUUGAUAGGUAGAGAAUUGAAAUCAUGUACAUGUAUAUAGUGAUUCAUAUACCUCGGCAAUUUCUUCCUCCUCUUCAACUUGAGCAUCAUCACCGCCAUCACCAGUCAUAUUUAGGUACUGGCUGCCAUCAUCCUCUUUGCCUGAAGCUUCAUCUACUUCUGCGUUCUAGUUGCUGCCUUCAUUAAUAAUAUUUUGAAUGAACUCCUCUUCGUCCCU